This is an RNA transcript of Gallus gallus (chicken), 2588 nucleotides long. It is a transcript of the gene named glyceraldehyde-3-phosphate dehydrogenase-like, with no coding region annotated. The record is from RefSeq and is a predicted model, not a curated record. The transcript is spliced from 12 exons. NCBI's taxonomy places the organism in Eukaryota, Metazoa, Chordata, Aves, Galliformes, Phasianidae.
GGGGGAGGAGCGGCGGCGGCGGGGCUUCGUUCGACGCUUCGGGAGAGCGGGAAAAAAGAGGCGCGAAGGGCUGCAGCCAUGGCUGAGCUCACCGUGGGCAUCAACGGCUUUGGCCGCAUUGGUCGCCUGGUGCUGCGCGCCUGCCUGGAGAAGGGGCUGCGGGUGGUGGCAAUUAACGACCCCUUCAUUGACCUUAAUUACAUGCCCCACAUCCUGGAUCCUCCAGCCCCACACCUCCAGGUCCUCCUGCUCCACAUCUCUCAGUCCUCCAGCCCCACAUUGCAGGCCUAUAUGUUCCAAUACGACUCCACCCACGGCCGCUUCCCGGGGGAGGUGAAGGCGGAGGGGGGGAAAUUGGUGGUGGAUGGAGCUGAGAUCUGCGUCUUCCAGUGCAUGAAGCCCGCCGAUAUCCCGUGGGGCGCAGCCGGAGCGCUGUAUGUGGUGGAGUCCACCGGGGUGUUCCUCAGCGUCGAGAAGGCCUCGGCCCACCUGCAGGGCGGCGCUCGCCGGGUGGUGAUCAGCGCCCCAUCCCCUGACGCACCGAUGUUCGUUAUGGGCGUUAACGAGGAGAGCUACGAGCCCGAGAGCAUGAGUGUGGUCAGCAAUGCUUCGUGCACCACCAACUGCCUGGCGCCGCUGGCAAAGGUCAUCCACCACAACUUCGGCAUCGAGGAGGGGCUGAUGAGCACAGUCCACGCGGUCACAGCCACGCAGCGCACCGUGGACGGCCCGUCGGGCAAAGCGUGGCGCGACGGCCGCGGCGCCCACCAAAACCUCAUCCCGGCCGCCACCGGAGCCGCCAGGGCCGUGGGGAGGGUCAUCCCCGAGCUCAACGGGAAGCUGAGCGGGAUGGCGUUCCGGGUCCCGGUUCCGGACGUGUCGGUGCUGGACCUGACGUGCCCCAUCCCCUAUAGGGCUGUCUGACCCCAUAGCCCCCCAUGUGACCCCAUGUGUGACCCCAUAACCCCCCAUGUGACCCCAUAUGUGACCCCAUAACCCCCCAUGUGACCCCAUAACCCCCCAGGAAGCUGAGCGGGAUGGCGUUCCGGGUCCCGGUUCCGGACGUGUCGGUGCUGGACCUGACGUGCCCCAUCCCCUAUAGGGCUGUCUGACCCCAUAGCCCCCCAUGUGACCCCAUAGCCCCCCAUGUGACCCCAUAACCCCAUAUGACCCCCAGGAAGCUGAGCGGGAUGGCGUUCCGGGUCCCGGUUCCGGACGUGUCGGUGCUGGACCUGACGUGCCCCAUCCCCUAUAGGGCUGUCUGACCCCAUAGCCCCCCAUGUGACCCCAUAGGUGACCCCAUAACCCUAUAUGUGACCCCAUAACCCCACAGGAAGCUGAGCGGGAUGGCGUUCCGGGUCCCGGUUCCGGACGUGUCGGUGCUGGACCUGACGUGCCCCAUCCCCUAUAGGGCUGUCUGACCCCAUAGCCCCCCAUGUGACCCCAUAACCCCCCAUGUGACCCCAUAACCCCCCAUAACCCCAUGUGUGACCCCAUAACCCCAUAUGACCCCCAGGAAGCUGAGCGGGAUGGCGUUCCGGGUCCCGGUUCCGGACGUGUCGGUGCUGGACCUGACGUGCCCCAUCCCCUAUAGGGCUGUCUGACCCCAUAGCCCCCCAUGCGACCCCAUAACCCCACAUGUGACCCCAUUACCCCAUAUGUGACCCCAUAGGUGAUCUCAUAGCCCUAUAUGUGACCCCAUAACCCCGCAGGAAGCUGAGCGGGAUGGCGUUCCGGGUCCCGGUUCCGGACGUGUCGGUGCUGGACCUGACGUGCCCCAUCCCCUAUAGGGCUGUCUGACCCCAUAGCCCCCCAUGUGACCCCUUAGGUGACCCCAUAACCCUAUAUGUGACCCCAUAACCCCGCAGGAAGCUGAGCGGGAUGGCGUUCCGGGUCCCGGUUCCGGACGUGUCGGUGCUGGACCUGACGUGCCCCAUCCCCUAUAGGGCUGUCUGACCCCAUAGCCCCCCAUGUGACCCCAUAGGUGACCCCAUAACCCCAUAUGACCCCCAGGAAGCUGAGCGGGAUGGCGUUCCGGGUCCCGGUUCCGGACGUGUCGGUGCUGGACCUGACGUGCCCCAUCCCCUAUAGGGCUGUCUGACCCCAUAGCCCCCCAUGUGACCCCAUAACCCCACAUGUGACCCCAUAACCCCAUAUGACCCCCAGGAAGCUGAGCGGGAUGGCGUUCCGGGUCCCGGUUCCGGACGUGUCGGUGCUGGACCUGACGUGCCCCAUCCCCUAUAGGGCUGUCUGACCCCAUAGCCCCCCAUGUGACCCCAUAACCCCAGAUGUGACCCCAUAGCCCCCCAUGUGACCCCAUAGGUGACCCCAUAACCCCAUGUGUGACCCCAUAACCCCAUAUGACCCCCAGGAAGCUGAGCGGGAUGGCGUUCCGGGUCCCGGUUCCGGACGUGUCGGUGCUGGACCUGACGUGCCCCAUCCCCUAUAGGGCUGUCUGACCCCAUAGCCCCCCAUGUGACCCCAUAGCCCCCCAUGUGACCCCAUAGGUGACCCCAUUACCCCAUAUGUGACCCCAUAACCCCGCAGGAAGCUGAGCGGGAUGGCGUUCCGGGUCCCGGUUCCGGACA